Molecule: small nuclear RNA, 102 nt
Organism: Trichechus manatus latirostris (Florida manatee)
Lineage: Eukaryota; Metazoa; Chordata; Mammalia; Sirenia; Trichechidae
Source: RefSeq, a predicted model, not a curated record
AUGCUUGGCAGCAUGUAUACUAAAACAGGAAUGAUACAGAGAAGAUUAGCAUGGCUCCUGUGAAAGGAUGACACGCAAAUUCAUGAAGUAUUCCAUAUUUUU